UACGUAGGGGGCAAGCGUUGUCCGGAAUCAUUGGGCGUAAAGCGCGCGUAGGCGGCCAGAUAAGUCCGGUGUGAAAGUCACAGGCUCAACCUGUGAAUGCCGCUGGAAACUGUCUGGCUUGAGUCCGGAAGGGGCGAGUGGAAUUCCUGGUGUAGCGGUGAAAUGCGCAGAUAUCAGGAGGAACACCAAUGGCGAAGGCAGCUCGCUGGAACGGUACUGACGCUGAGGUGCGAAAGCGUGGGGAGCAAACAGG
This 253-nucleotide ribosomal RNA is filed under the name uncultured bacterium. RNAcentral's name for it is "partial 16S ribosomal RNA". It matches the Rfam family "Bacterial small subunit ribosomal RNA", at positions 524 to 776 of the family's 1533-position model. The record is from RNAcentral.